UAUUAUACUAGAAAUUAAUAAAUAAAUGAAUUAAAUUAUUAUAAGAUAUAGUCUUUAAAUUUGAAGAAUUUGGCGGUAAUUUAGUCUUUCCAGAGGAACCUGUUUCGUAAUCGAUAAACCACGAAUAAUCUUAUUUGUUUAAGUUUUAAUUACAAGUUUGUAUACCGUCAUUAUUAGAUAAUAUUUCGAGAUAAAUUAUUAUAUUUUAAAAAAUAAAAAAAAUUAGAUCAAGGUGCAGCCAAUAAACAAGUUGGAAUGGGUUACAAUUAAAUAAAUAUAAUAUGAAAUAAAAUUUGAAAAGAGUUUUAGGAAAGAGGAUUUGGUUGUAAUAGGUAUUAAUAAGACAAAAAGAUAAAAGCUCUAAAUUAU
RNAcentral lists this ribosomal RNA (369 nucleotides) under Scyramathia umbonata. RNAcentral's name for it is "partial small subunit ribosomal RNA". Lineage: Eukaryota; Metazoa; Arthropoda; Malacostraca; Decapoda; Epialtidae. The record is from RNAcentral.